UCCACGUAAUUGAACUUGAUGAAUGUUGGCGUUUGUUUAUCUCUCUAACGCGCACUGUCCUUUCAACACCCCUCCGGAUGACAUAUCUGGGCCGGUUUGGUUAUUUUCAGAACAAUACAGCACCUGUCUAUCUCCAGGGGUUUUGUGAUUAGAGCUUGGAUUGUCAAUUACAACAAGUCAAACUGCAACUCUCGGUUUUCUUUGUCCGGGAAAAGAGUGCUAGUUUUACCAGCUAGCCAGGCUAUGCUAGUCGAUGGAAAAUAGUAAGCACAUUUAUAUGGUUUUGGAAUGACCUGUUCAGGAGAAAAAAUGCAGUUUCAGUUCCUUUGGAUGACAAUUGAAGGAAACUGAGCAUGUUUGACCACGAUAAAAAGGCAUGUUUUAAAAAUGUUAAAAUACAAGCUAUCGUCAAACCAUCCAUGCAUCCCACGUUCCUUCCAACUUAGGCCUAAGUGAGAUCGCUUAGGUUAUGUACAUUGCUACUGAGGCAUCGUGUUCUUGGACAACUGGUAUGAUCUACCCAGGCAGAUGCGAGGAUGCGCACCACCAGGUCCAUUCCAUGCACACAUGCAUCAUCUUGGCAUUCUGGCUGGCAGGAAUUGAUCCUGAACGACAACCAACAAGGGGCAACAUAAGAGACGGCACACAGGGAGAGCUGAGGAAAAACGCAGUCCUGAUGUUAUUUUAAAAACACAGGUUUGCUGUUGGCAUGGACUUUGUGGACUGUGGACUUGUUCACAGUUCAGGGCUAUGGGACCUGAUGUGAGGUGCUGCUGCGAUUUCAGCGUGGAGCAAAGGGCCAACUUUCGAGGGUGACUGACCCCUUCGAAAAACGCCCGUUGGCAAAGGUGUACAGUCUGGAAUGUGAUGCGUUCUACGGGGGGUUUUGUCUGAGGUGCAAACACAACGUUGUGCUCGCCCUGCACGUGUUGAUUGGCUGAGAUUUCUCCUUUCUUAAUCUAUGAGAAGCUGGGGGGGAAGGAGAUCAAUGAGGGACGGAGACCGCAGAUUUGUACAUGUGAUUAAGCUGAAAAAUGCAUGUCAUUUCUGGCAUAUUUACAGAAAUAUAUAUUAAUAUGCACUG
This is a long non-coding RNA of Gadus chalcogrammus (walleye pollock), 1084 nucleotides long. RefSeq lists it as uncharacterized. The transcript is spliced from 5 exons. NCBI's taxonomy places the organism in Eukaryota, Metazoa, Chordata, Actinopteri, Gadiformes, Gadidae. The record is from RefSeq and is a predicted model, not a curated record.